Molecule: long non-coding RNA, 164 nt
Organism: Coregonus clupeaformis (lake whitefish)
Lineage: Eukaryota; Metazoa; Chordata; Actinopteri; Salmoniformes; Salmonidae
Exons: 3
Source: RefSeq, a predicted model, not a curated record
UGGACAGUACUGCCAGUUGGUUCACAACCAAAACUUUACCGCAUGUCCAACAACAACAGCCUCUCCUACAACAGUUUCAACAGUACCACCAACUCUCUACGAAUACAUGAUUGAAAUUGAGCUGAACACCACAGACGUUACAGUGAUAGAUCAACUGAGCGCCA